GCCAGGCAAGGUGGUGCAUGCCUGUAAUCCCAGCAGCUCGGGAGGCUGAGGCAGGAGGAUUUCAAGUUCAAAGCCAGCCUCAG
RNAcentral lists this small RNA (83 nucleotides) under Marmota monax (woodchuck). Lineage: Eukaryota; Metazoa; Chordata; Mammalia; Rodentia; Sciuridae. The record is from RNAcentral.